RNAcentral lists this transfer RNA (78 nucleotides) under Flavobacteriaceae bacterium. RNAcentral describes it as "tRNA-Val". It matches the Rfam family "tRNA". From Rfam's summary of the family: Transfer RNA (tRNA) molecules are approximately 80 nucleotides in length. Their secondary structure includes four short double-helical elements and three loops (D, anti-codon, and T loops). Further hydrogen bonds mediate the characteristic L-shaped molecular structure. tRNAs have two regions of fundamental functional importance: the anti-codon, which is responsible for specific mRNA codon recognition, and the 3' end, to which the tRNAs corresponding amino acid is attached (by aminoacyl-tRNA synthetases). tRNAs cope with the degeneracy of the genetic code in two manners: having more than one tRNA (with a specific anti-codon) for a particular amino acid; and 'wobble' base-pairing, i.e. permitting non-standard base-pairing at the 3rd anti-codon position. RNAcentral also lists the same sequence under 3 other names. The record is from RNAcentral. Lineage: Bacteria; Pseudomonadati; Bacteroidota; Flavobacteriia; Flavobacteriales; Flavobacteriaceae.
GACUCUGUAGCUCAGUUUGGUUAGAGUGCUUGCUUGACAUGCAAGAGGUCGCUGGUUCAAGUCCAGCCAGAGUCACCA